RNAcentral lists this unclassified non-coding RNA (273 nucleotides) under Hevea brasiliensis (rubber tree). The record is from RNAcentral. Lineage: Eukaryota; Viridiplantae; Streptophyta; Magnoliopsida; Malpighiales; Euphorbiaceae.
AUUCACUCCUCCCCACCAGCAAAUCAUCUUCCCGACAACCUCGUAAAUCCCGCAGACGUACAGCCCUCAGAGACUUCUUCCUUUCAAAUUUCUUCACCAUAGGCCUCUCUUUCUCACUCUUCAUCUUCAUUCUCAUCGUAUACAGCUAUGGAGUCCCUAAACCCCUUCUCUCAUCCCAUUUCCGGGCUGCCCGAACCAGAUUCCAUCGACUCAGGAAGCCCACUUACCGGAAAUCUCCUGGUAGCGACGCUGUGUCAGGUGCGGUUGUUGAUA